UUUUUUUUUUGAGACAGUUUCCCUCUGUCACCCAGGCUGGAGUGCGUGGUGCGAUCUCAGCUCACUGCAAGCUCUGCCUCCCGGGUUCAUGCAUUCCUCCAGCCUCAGCCUCCCGAGUAGCUGGGACUACAGGCACCCGCCACCACGCCUGGCUAAUUGUAUUUUUAGUAGAGACGGGGUUUCACCGUGUUAGCCAGGAUGGUCUCGGUUUCCUGACCUCGUGAUCUGCCCACCUCGGCCUCCCAAAGUGCUGGGAUUAUAGGUGUGAGCCACCGCGCCGGGCCGUAUGUGUGUACCUCUUUACAAGUCUUGCCUGACCUUUGCAUUUAAAAAUUAUUGAAAAACUUAAGGAUGUAACUGACAAGAACUUUAUAGGUUUCUCCAAGUAAAAAUUUGGAAAAGUUAAGUGAACCCAUAAUGUGUUUUAUUUCUGAGUCCCACACUUGGAUUUUUAAAUGUGGGCAAAACAUCUGUAUGUUCUUCAGCCUGAUUUCCGUGGAAUCGUGAAUGAAACGUGCUGAAGUUGCCGUGCGGAUUUUGUUAUGUGGCGGUGACAAGUGGGGCUGGUCAUUAAACAACUGGAGGAAUCCCUGUCCUUUCUGUGCUCCUGUUGGACACUAGGCACGUGCUUGGGUGUUUUCUGUGUGUGUGGACAAGAUGAGGACAGAAUUUCCAGAUUCACACGGUGGUAUCUUCUCCCUUUUCUGUUAAAACGUGUCUUCUGCUGCUUCUACAUAGACCAAGUGUUUCUUUCUCUUGCCUGUCUACAUAAACGCUGUUUAACAAAAACUGCAUUGUAGACAUGUGAAGCUGAAUUCCACAUGAUCAAGCAGAUAGAGAUGACUGAGUAUACUGUUUUGUGGAAGGAAGGUUUAAAAUGAUUUUUAGCUUUUUCCCUGAAAUAGGGAAUACUUUUAACUUUUUCCCUGAGAUAGGGAAUAAUGAAAUGGGAAAAUAAUUAAAUUUUCCCAUGUAAUUGUUAGAUUAUAUUUAAUUAUUAGAUUAUUCAUGUAUUGCAAGGGAAAAAGGAACUAGAUCACCCCAUGUACCCAAAUGAAAAUUUAAAGGGUAUGGGCGAAUUCAUUUGAACUCCUUUAAUUUGUUUUUGUUUGUUUGUUUUUGACAGUCUCACUCUGUUUCUCAGGCUGGGUGCAGUAGUACAAUGACAGCUCACUGCAACCCCAACGUUCUAGGCUCAAGUGAUUCUCCUGCCUCAGCCUCCCCAACUGCUGGGAUUUACAGGCGUUAACCACCACACACAGCUUAUCACCUCUUGGAGACUAGCUUUGAGUUUGGGCAUUCACUGAACUAUAUUUUGGUUAAUUCUCAAAGUUUGUCACUGUUUAUCUUUAAUUUGCUAAAAAUCUACAUGUAUUGUAAAAUGCGUUACAUUUCCUUAGCAUUCACGGAUUCCCUGUUAGUGGGGCAGAGACACAGAAGGGCAGAAGGCGUUCGGACAUCAUCAGGGUUGCAGUUGAGUGCUUGCCCCGAACACACUGGAGCUCUGGGCUCUGUGGCCCCACGGGGGUCCUCUGUCCACUGAGGGGGCCGGGUUACCUGGAAGGUCCCUCCAGCCUCUGCAAUUUUGCCCUUUUCAGGUUAACAUCUCAUCGUUGUCCUGGACAGCACUGCCUUUCGUUCACUGACCCACGAGUGAACAGCUGGUCAGUGGCCAGUGCUGCUUCCUUCAGCUGGGAGGUGGUGAUGUGAUAACACUUCCGUGGAAUUUGGUUCUUGGUGUAUUAAGGGUUCAGUUGUAUGUUUAUUUUUAAUCUGCACCUCUGAAUUGGUCUUUUGAUUGCAAAGAGAUUGCUUACUGGAUUUGUUUCUGAAUAUUUGGUGGAUAACAGGAGAACCUUGCUUAUCUGUGUGUUCAUUUAAUGUGUUUUUGCCAGGCAUUUAUAUGGGUGUGUUAGCCCUCAGCCCACUUUCUGUGUGUGGUGGAGUCAUUGAAAUCAUUUAUGUGAAGUCUCUCUUCUAUUAAGGCCAGAGGACGUGGGGUGGUGUCUCCCUAAACUAGGGGGAAAUGGCAUUGUUCUGCCCUCCUCCCUGGGAACGCUGGUGUUUCCAGGUCUCUGAACUUGGCUCCCACACUGGGAGAGUGGCUGUGGCUUCUGGAGCCCGUUUUGUGCGGGACUGACUCCUUCACUUGCUUUAUUCCCCACCGUCUUUGCUGCUUUAUGACGCAGGGAUGAGGGAGUUGGGCCCGGGGGCCUUGCCUGUGCCUGAAGGGCCCGAUGCAGAAAACUCCUGGUGGGAAGGAUGUUCCUUGAGGGCAGCUUUUGGAGUCUUUUCCUACUUUUAACUGAGAAGCAGCUAUUCACAUGGUUCUAUUCUGCUGGUGUGUUUCAAAAUAAUUGGUGUAGAGUUGUGAAGAUGUCCGAGACACCCAUGAUCCACUCCGGGCCAGUGCCGGGCAUUGUGCUCAGAUGCCUUCAGACCACAUUCACAUGCCAAAGAUUCUUGCUUGGUUAUUCUCAAACUUAUGAGAAUCUAAAACGCGAGCCACGGUAUGGAUUUUCUCUUGAGCCCCCAUGACUUUGCCUUGUAUUUUGGGCAUGAAUGACUUCAUCAAGGGGAAAGAAUUUGAGGAAGGAGCCUCUGAGGCUAGGAGGGGGUGGGAAGGGGCGGUGGGAAGAGGAGGGAAAAGGAGCUGUAGAGGGAAGAGCCAGGCUGGGGCUGGGGCAUCUCCCCAUGAUGCUCCCCCACCCCUGGCGCGAGGCCCCAGGGACUGACUGAUUUUCCCACAGGAAAUGUGUAUGAUUGCGUGUCUGUUUUGUGGGCUGGCCAUUUGGAUUGAGGGAAUGUCUGUGUUGUGAUUCCUUAUUGAUUCGAAGGUUGGAAAGGUUUGUGCUCAAUACAGGGGUCUCUUGGUGCGAUGGGAAAUGUGAUCGCAGCCGCCUUCGGGGUGGGGAGAGCCCUUGAGGCCCUCAGUGGUGGCCGGUGUUGGCUUCGCUUCCCUGGGUGAGCUGCCCUCAGGGUGGGAAGGGAGGUCCUCGGUGGUGGCCGCUGUUGGCCUUCGCCUCCCUGGGUGAGGGCUGCUCCAUCCCCGGCUCUCCGACUCCUUGCCUGGCACCUUCCUCGUUGGAGGCCGUGAUCCAUCAACUUUGUCCACGCGUGUCCUGCAGACUAGUGCUGACUGCAGGUUCAGGAGUGGUCAGAGGAGGCCAGAGGAGGCCCUCGUGAUGCGAAGCUAAACGUUUAAUGAUGGCGCUGCUGAGUGCAUGAGCCGCGUCAGCCCAAGAGUCUGGGGCGAGGCUUGCUGCAGGGGCUACAGAGUCCAAGAAGCCCCAGGACCCACAGCCUGCAAGCUAGAGUCCUGGGAGGGUGUGGCUUGAAGACUUGAGAAGCGGAGGGUGCAGAUCCCACCCGGGUCUGAGGAGCUGAGACCCAGGAGCACGGGCUGCAGAAGACAGAUGUCACUGGCCCAUCAGCCAGACAGGUGGAGUGAACCCAGUUUUCCCCGCCUUGCUGUUUUACUCGGGCCCUGGGUGGAUAGGGUGGUGCCCCCCACACCGGCGAGGAUGGGUCUCCACUCAGUCCAGAGGCAAACAUGCAUCUCACACAGAAAUAAUGCAGAACCAGCCAUCUGGGCACCCCGGGCACGCUCAGGUUGAUGCACAAAACCAACGCCGCGCGUGGCCCUGACGUCUGCGUGUUCGCAUCACUCCACGCACAUUGCUCGGUCAUCGCCUCGGUGAGUUUGUAAGCUCGUUGUGUGGUUCUGGGGCUCUUUGUCCCGGGUGGUGGUGGUGAUGAUGACAGGCUCCCCACUGCCCCAGCUCAGGUAUGGAAGGUGAUGGCACCAACGGCUCCUUGUUUCUCAGACACUUGAGCGGGUGCUCUGUGCAGCCAGUUCCACCUGCAGCAGCAUCUGUUCCCUAUGCCGAUUCCAUUCGGAGUGUGUGCCUCCCUUCUGUUGAGGGUGCAGCCUUCUUUCAGGGAAGAACUGUGUCCUGUUCGCCUAUGUCUCCUGUGGUGUAUCUCAUGGCUGAAUAAGUAGCUAUAGGAUACCUCGGUGGCUGAACGAUAGGUUCAUUGAAAGGAAAACUUUAUACUUUUUUUUUCUUUUUGGGACGGAGUUUCAUACUCAACGCCCAGGCUGAAGUGCAAUGGCAUGAUCUUGGCUCAUUGCAAACUCUCCCUCCCGGGUUCAAGUGAUUCUCUUCCCUCAGCCUCCCAAGUAACUGGGGUUACAGGCGUCUGCCACCAUGCCUGGCUAAUUUUCGUAUUUUCAUUAGAGACAGGGUUUCACCAUGUUGGCCAGGCUGGUCUUAAACUCUUGAUCUCAGGUGAUGCACCCACCUCGGCCACCCAAAGUGCUGGGAUUACGGCCAUGAGCCCCUGCACCCAGGAACUUAAUACCGUUUUUUUUUUCCUUUAAAUCAUAAUGGGCUUGUUAAAUGCUUACGUUAAUGUUUAUUUUUAAAAAUGUUAUCUGUGACCUUUCAGCUUUUCAUAGCACUUCUCGUGUGAAUAUUUAAAAAAGGCCCUUUAGUCGUGGGGGAGAAGGAGGUUAUCCCUUUCAGCAGAGGGAGAUGGAGGAACACGCCCUGGUGGGUCUGAGCACAGGCAGUCACCCCAGCCUUGGUGCUUGCUUAGGUCUGUUCUCCGUUCACCGUAGCCGCAUCCACUCUCAUUGUCAGCUUAAAAAUAAGCUUUUUCCUCUUUCUAAUCAGAACAGUUAGUUUGUUAACCAUCACGUUAAGGUAUCGAGAAUGAUGGCUUUCAGGCCUCAGAUAUGACACAAGUAGUAAAUGCAGCUGACCCUGAACAACAUGGGUUUUGAGCUUCGAAGGAUCACUUAUGUUAAUUAUUUUCCAACCAACCCUUACUGAAAAAACCUGGCUUUGUGGAGGGCUGACGUUUCCUACAUGCGGUUCCAUAGGGUGGCCACAGAGUCCUGUGGAUACGUAGAUUUGGGUAAACUCGGGGGGUGUUCUGGAAUCCAUGUCCCUGUGUAUACAGAGGGACAACUGCAGCUUUUUAAAAGUUUGUGUCCUGCCUUGUCCUAAAAAGGCUCCAAGGUGGAUGCAAAAUUAUUUCAUCCUUUUGGUUUUCUUGGUGGGAUAUUGAUGUUUAUUCUUCAGUGUCUAAAAUCCUGAGUGAACAGAGUUAGUGCUUCAGGAACAAAGCCAGUCUGGAAACACAUAUUGAGAUAUCCACCUUUUCUUCAUGGUUUCACAAAAGGCCAUGAUCAUAUUUUAUUCGGUUGAACUGUAGGAAACUGCCAAUAUUUGCUGUUUUUGGCCUACAAAAUGGCAAGUUCGUACGAUAUUAAAAACAAAGGCUUCCUGGAUGGGGAAAAUAGGAAUCGGUGAGAACCUGAAGUUGUCUGUCAUGGCCUCUGAGUCACAGGUAAAUAAACCUGCGUGAGGGGAAGUUGGCUGUACAGUAUUUUCCUUCUGUUUUGAGACUGUCAGAAAAAGGUCAGUUCCAUUGCGUCGGGUCCCUUUUCCUCACCUUUGCUGCAGAGGGGACUUGCCAUUAUUCCUCUUGUUUCCAGUGCCCAGGAGGCUGAUGCCACAUAGAAGACCUGCAGGUCGAUGGAUGUGAAACAGGCAUCGGACACGCUGUGCACCUUGGGAUGCAUCUGAGAAGUACGUGCUUGCAGCAGGUCUGAGAUUUCUUUGCAUCGUCUCCCUUAUCCAGAAGUGAGGGUGAACGCUGAGUUAUUCACGGGAGUCAAGAAACCACACGCAGCCCAAAGAGACGUUUGUUUCCCUGGAAUGAUUUGUGUGUGUUCACCUUAAAAUGCAACUUAGUAAAACAGGUGUGUUUUGA
This is a non-coding RNA of Macaca mulatta (Rhesus monkey), 5784 nucleotides long. The record is from RefSeq and is a predicted model, not a curated record. Lineage: Eukaryota; Metazoa; Chordata; Mammalia; Primates; Cercopithecidae.